This 216-nucleotide unclassified non-coding RNA is filed under the name Hevea brasiliensis (rubber tree). Lineage: Eukaryota; Viridiplantae; Streptophyta; Magnoliopsida; Malpighiales; Euphorbiaceae. The record is from RNAcentral.
GGCAAUACGAAAUCCAUCAUUUCUUCAGAGAUCUUUGUAUUACAAGAUACAGGCAAAGAAAAAACAGAGACUCCAAAUUUCUGUAUCACUUCCUCGGUCUCUUAAUGCUGAACUACAUUUGCAAGAUCUGUUUCCUCUUCAUGUGCUAUUGGUUAGACCUGUUGAGGAUACCACAGUUACAGAGAAUUCGGCUGUUUAUCGACUCAGUCAGGCAUC